UUUCUUCCACAGUUAUUCCCUCUUUAUCUAUUUCAGGUUGUUGGAGCAUCUCUUCUGCCUCCAGCUUUGCUAAAAGUUCCUCUGCUUUUGCUUUUUUUUCUAAUGCUAUGGACAACUUGAUGCUAGUCUUUCUCAUAGAUGUCUCAGAUGACAUCAGCUUUCUCUGUUCAGAGACAAUCUUUUUCCACUCCGUGAUGCUCUGACUUUCAUUUGUGGGACCAUUUUCAUUUAUCUCAAGUUUCUGCUCCUGAACCAUUGUAGC
Molecule: unclassified non-coding RNA, 262 nt
Filed under: Hevea brasiliensis (rubber tree)
Lineage: Eukaryota; Viridiplantae; Streptophyta; Magnoliopsida; Malpighiales; Euphorbiaceae
Source: RNAcentral